Molecule: long non-coding RNA, 1025 nt
Filed under: Olea europaea subsp. europaea
Lineage: Eukaryota; Viridiplantae; Streptophyta; Magnoliopsida; Lamiales; Oleaceae
Source: RNAcentral
CAUCGGCCUUACAAAUGGCCUCACAAUAUUAGCCCUAAUCGACCCUGACCUGGACUCUAAUGUAAUAUCAAUUUACAGUCUAAAAAUCUGAUCAAACGGACUAAAAAAACUAGCUUCCGAAAAACACAAAAUACCGGUCAGCCAACUGUAAAAUAACCACCAAAUCACCGGCCCCAGAAUACGGGCCUCACUACAGAAAAUGGUCAAAAAAUAUACAGGAACUAAUCUGAAGAAUAUCACUUGGUAAAGGCUCAAAGAUUGCCAAAAUAGAGAGAGUGUGGGAAAGAGAAAGAAUCUCCCAUUUUUGAAAAAAAAUGAAAGAAGGAAAGUGAAAAAAUCUGGUCCCUCUCUCUCCUGCCGUCUAUUUCAAAAAUGAAAGAAAAGUUGAUGUAAAUCUCAGCCCUCCAUUUUGAUCAAUGGCCCAUAAUUUUUUCAAACAAACACAAAUCCUUGUGAAGAGUAAGUUGCCAAUAGAAAGCUGUCAUGUGGCCAACAAAUGGAGAAAACUUUUUGUCACUUGUAAAAACGUGAUUUUUGGGUUUUGAAAACAUUUCACAAUCUUCACCUUGUUUUCACAAACCCCUAGCUCUCUCUAGUUGCUACAAUGCAUGUGACGGUAGUGUUUUUGCCCUACAUCAUCGCCCUUAGUACCUACAAAAGAAAUUAACCCAUAUCAAUAUGCAGUAAAGAUAAACAAGCCUUAAAUUUACCUACAUUUAGAAUUUUGGUUCCCAUAACGGAUGGGUUCACGUCGGUGUGAAUUUUUCCAAGUACAACAUCACCACAAGCAAUUUUUUCACGUAUGAAAUGGUACUUCACCUCAAUGUUUUUAGAUCUUUCAUCAUAAAUCGGGUUUUUACAUAAAAGUAAAGCACUUUGACUAUCGGUGAAAAUAACGGGUAACGCUUGCAAAAAAUUCAACUCCCCCAAAAUUCCUUUCAACUAAAUGCAUUCUUUUACAGAUUCGGUUAUUACCACAUAUUCAGCUUAUGUGCUGAAUAAUGUGACAAUGGAUUGAAGUUGUA